RNAcentral lists this ribosomal RNA (253 nucleotides) under uncultured bacterium. Its description in RNAcentral is "partial 16S ribosomal RNA". It matches the Rfam family "Bacterial small subunit ribosomal RNA", at positions 524 to 776 of the family's 1533-position model. The record is from RNAcentral.
UACGUAGGGUGCGAGCGUUAAUCGGAAUUACUGGGCGUAAAGCGUGCGCAGGCGGUUUUGUAAGCCAGAUGUGAAAUCCCCGGGCUUAACCUGGGAAUGGCAUUUGGGACUGCAAGGCUUGAGUGCGGCAGAGGAGGGUAGAAUUCCACGUGUAGCAGUGAAAUGCGUAGAGAUGUGGAGGAAUACCGAUGGCGAAGGCAGCCCCCUGGGAUAACACUGACGCUCAUGCACGAAAGCGUGGGGAGCAAACAGG